RNAcentral lists this ribosomal RNA (464 nucleotides) under Aleiodes schirjajewi. RNAcentral describes it as "eukaryotic LSU rRNA". Lineage: Eukaryota; Metazoa; Arthropoda; Insecta; Hymenoptera; Braconidae. The record is from RNAcentral.
UGAGAACCCAAAAGAUCGAAUGGGGAGAUUCAUCGUCAGCUCAUUUUGUAUAUGUAUAAGUUACGAUGCGGGUUACUACUUGUAGUAUUGCCUGCACGUUCUUGUAUAUUUUAUUGCAAGAUGUUGUCGGCGUGCACUUCUUCCCUAGUAGGACGUCGCGACCCGUUGGGUGUCGGUCUACGGCCCAAGUGAUAGCCUUUAAUGUAAUUUAAAAAUCAUUGAAGAUCCUUGGUGUUUUCUGACCGGCUACUUGGCGGUAUUCGUACGGUAUUUAGCCGCUAAUUUAUUAGCGUCCAUGUCCGUCACAAGCGAGGCUAAUUUACUGAUAGUGCGGACCUAGUGCCGUCGUUGGUAUUGGCCAGCUGUUGGUUGUACGUGAUUCUGGGACUGGCUAAAAUUAAUUACCGGUCGGCGAUGCUACUGCUUUGGGUACUUUCAGGACCCGUCUUGAAACACGGCACAAA